GCUUUUAAAAGCUUAUCAACUUCUUCAUUAAUAGCUUUUUACCUUUUCGAGGUGAAACUUCAUUUUUUCUGCUAAAUCGGCUUGAAAUUUGAAUCUACAUUUAGUUUAUGAAUAAUCAUCAUGGUUAGGAUGCCAAACAUAUCAGAAGCCGACCAAACAAAGACAUCAGCAUUAGCCUGUAGAAACUUAAUUAGUCUCUCAUUUA
Molecule: long non-coding RNA, 205 nt
Filed under: Elaeis guineensis (African oil palm)
Lineage: Eukaryota; Viridiplantae; Streptophyta; Magnoliopsida; Arecales; Arecaceae
Description: long non-coding RNA (EGUI_LNC071456)
Source: RNAcentral